RNAcentral lists this ribosomal RNA (253 nucleotides) under uncultured bacterium. RNAcentral describes it as "partial 16S ribosomal RNA". It matches the Rfam family "Bacterial small subunit ribosomal RNA", at positions 524 to 776 of the family's 1533-position model. The record is from RNAcentral.
GACAGAGGGGGCAAGCGUUGCUCGGAAUCACUGGGCGUAAAGGGCGCGUAGGCGGGAUGGCAAGUCGGUCGUGAAAUCCUUCGGCUCAACCGAAGAACGUCGGCCGAUACUGCCGUUCUUGAGGGAUGCAGAGGAGAUUGGAAUUCCCGGUGUAGCGGUGAAAUGUGUAGAGAUCGGGAGGAACACCGGUGGCGAAGGCGGGUCUCUGGGCAUCUCCUGACGCUGAGGAGCGAAAGCGUGGGGAGCAAACGGG